GUGCCAGCCGCCGCGGUAAUACGUAGGGAGCGAGCGUUAUCCGGAAUUAUUGGGCGUAAAGCGUGCGCCGGCGGUAUGUUAAGUCAAAUGUGAAAGCCCAGGGCUUAACCCUGGAGAGUCAUUUGAAACUGGCAUGCUUGAGUACGGCAGAGGUAAGUGGAAUUCAAUGUGUAGCGGUGGAAUGCGUAGAUAUAUUGAGGAACACCAGUGGCGAAGGCGGCUUACUGGACCGGAACUGACGCUGAGGCACGAAAGCGUGGGGAGCAAACAGGAUUACAUACCCUGGUAGCCCACGCCGUAAACGAUGAGAACUAAGUGUUGGGGUUACCCAGUGCUGAAGUUAACGCAUUAAGUUCUCCGCCUGGGGAGUACGGCCGCAAGGUUGAAACUCAAAGGAAUUGACGGGUCUCCGCACAAGCGGUGGAGCAUGUUGUUUAAUUCGAAGAUACGCGAAGAACCUUACCAGGUCUUGACAUCCUUCUGAUCGGUGUAGAGAUACACUUUCCCCUUCGGGGCAGAAGUGACAGGUGGUGCAUGGUUGUCGUCAGCUCGUGUCCGUGAGAUGUUGGGUUAAGUCCCGCAACGAGCGCAACCCCUAUUGAUAGUUGCUAACAUUAAGUUGAGGACUCUAUCGAGACUGCCAGUGAUAAACUGGAGGAAGGUGGGGAUGACGUCAAAUCAUCAUGCCCCUUAUGACCUGGGCUACAAACGUGCUACAAUGGACAGAACAAAGAGUUGCCAAGUCGUGAGAUGGAGCUAACCUUUUAAAACUGUUCUCAGUUCGGAUUGAAGUCUGCAACUCGACUUCAUGAAGUUGGAAUCGCUAGUAAUCGUGGGUCAGCAUACCACGGUGAAUACGUUCUCGGAGAUUGCACUCACCGCCCGUC
This 887-nucleotide ribosomal RNA is filed under the name uncultured Gram-positive bacterium. RNAcentral describes it as "bacterial SSU rRNA". It matches the Rfam family "Bacterial small subunit ribosomal RNA", at positions 505 to 1398 of the family's 1533-position model. The record is from RNAcentral.